Molecule: non-coding RNA, 69 nt
Organism: Rattus norvegicus (Norway rat)
Lineage: Eukaryota; Metazoa; Chordata; Mammalia; Rodentia; Muridae
Source: Rfam
GGGGAAUUAGCUCAGUGGUAGAGCGCUUGCCUAGCAAGCGCAAGGCCCUGGGUUCGGUCCCCAGCUCCG